CACCUGUUGUUGUCUUCUCUGUAUGUAUAUCUGAUCCGACAACAUGUGCAGCUAGUAAUGAGUCUAUGAAUGCCGAUUAGAGCUGGACAUUAGGGUGCCUUAUCCUAGUGCUAAGCUAUGAUAUCACUGUCUUAGAAUCUUCUUUUGUCAACCUACAUAAGAGAAGUGAUAUACACCAGACCCUCUCAAGCAGCUCUCAGCUCAGUCUAACCUACAAUUGUGUCAAAAAGUAGAACUCUCUCCAUCACGACCAGAGAUUAUAUGGCAUCAUGGAUGACGAAAUUAACUCUACCACACCGACCUCUGUUGAGAAACUUUAAUUCAGGUCUUAGUCCCGGAUCUGUGCGGUCGGCAAUUCGCCUCGCUCAACGGUCGGCAUGCCUCCACUCCAAUUAUAAAAGUUCUUGCGCUUUGCACCUCAUCAUACACCAAAGUGGUAACACGUGUUUGGAACCAAAAUAAAGGUGCAACCUGCAGUCCAAUCACAUGCUGCCACAUCAACACAUGAGAUGUAUCGUUUAAAAAAAAUAAUGGGUACGGAAGCCUAUUUAGAAAUAUCCAUGCAAUUUCUUGCCAUGCAUUUAAUCUCACCAAGAGCAGAAAAGAAAAGUACAAAAAAAAAAUUACAUAAAUUUCUGCAGCGAACUUUAUCUGUGCUAGCUAAAUAAAUAAAUAAAUAAUUCAGCAAGAGUCAUACGUCAGUAGUUGCUCCAACCAUCC
Molecule: long non-coding RNA, 720 nt
Filed under: Phoenix dactylifera (date palm)
Lineage: Eukaryota; Viridiplantae; Streptophyta; Magnoliopsida; Arecales; Arecaceae
Description: long non-coding RNA (PDAC_LNC008152)
Source: RNAcentral